Long non-coding RNA from Ictalurus punctatus (channel catfish), 2359 nucleotides. RefSeq lists it as uncharacterized. The record is from RefSeq and is a predicted model, not a curated record. The transcript is spliced from 3 exons. NCBI's taxonomy places the organism in Eukaryota, Metazoa, Chordata, Actinopteri, Siluriformes, Ictaluridae.
GAUCAAGAUGAAUUGAUAGAAAUGUUUUUAAAGGGAUAGUUUCUUCAAAAGAAGUUGACUAGUACCUUUUAGUUCAUGUUAGGGGUGUAACGAUACACCACCACGCAGUACGAUAAAAUUAGACUAUGUGCAGCAUGGGGAAAGUGCGAUUCACAUCAUGUACAUUACGUGUCUAAUGCAGCUGCACUGUUUGUACACCUGCAGCCCUAAUCUGUGUCCUAACUAUCUAACGGAUCACAGCCGACACAAGUUAUAUACGUCAUACCGUUACACAGCCAGUUUAUAAAGAGCUGUUUAGUAGCUUUCAAACACCACCAGCCCCGUGCUGCCAUCUACAGAACCCGGCCGGGGAACCCUGGUGCUGAAGCUUUAUUUGCGGCACUGCUACAGAACACAUUACGCUUCAAUCCAUGGCUUUUCCCAGAUCAGAGACUUUAUUCAAUCAAAAUCUUUGUUCGCUCUCUUUUGGGGAAAAUGUAUUCAUUUGGGGUUUUUUUUUUUUUAGAUACAGUGAGCCUAUAGUAUAUUUUAAAAUGUUAGACCUUUUCGAUGAUAAAAAUGCACUUUGUUUUGCAUUGUUUACUAAGUAGAAAUAAUAAGAAUCUAAUUGAGUUGUGAAGCCGAAAAGUGUUGUGAAUCGAAUCAUGACCAGUGUGGUGUUGCACCCCUAGUUCGUAAUAUUAAUUACUUAAUACUAGUUGUUUUUCUGAGGAAAAGUAAUCAAGCUUUUCCAUAAGUGUUUAACUCUUUCUUGCAGUGCACUGACGUUCCGUUCCGUCGGCAGAACGGAAAUCGACUUUUCAAUCAGUAUAUACAUAUCAAUUAUUUUAUCAUCGUGAGUCUGUUAUGAGGUUAGUCAGGACAGUGUUCGAUUUCUGUGGGUAGAGUAUCAUGACCAUUUAGGUGCUGGUGAGCAGGGCGAUGGGAAAGGGGAGGGGUGUGCGCCCUGUGCUAUCUACCUUGGCUGCAUUGAUCAAACCGUGGUAUUUGAUCAAUGGUAAUUUUAAUGGGUAAUUUAAUAAUAUUUUAUUAUUAGGGUAUUUAAUAAUUUAUUUGAUUGACACUCACAUGGACCAAUUGUAGAAACUUUUAGCUUUCAAACAAGACCUCAUGUCAAGAUUAACAAUACAGAGAGAGAACAGUGUGUAAACUCCUCCCCUCCAUACACACACACACACACACACACACACACACAUCUACACACACCUGUUGGUCUGGCGCUGUCUAUAUGCUGUCAGUCAGCGGGUACGAUCCAAUCAGCUUGCAGCAGCAGAUGGUGUCGGUUGUGCAAGAAAUGGCUGGUCAUGCCUAGUUUUCACACAGUGUGCAGGUGAUUAGCGUCUUAUAGCGAUCGUGUGUUCCCAAAAAAGCCUGAAUUUGUCAGAGGUUUUGAAAGUUAUUUAGGAGUGACUCUGGGGAGGGAGAGGAAUUUGAGGGUUUUUAGGAGGAAGUGUGGAUUCAGCUGAGGAGCAUUCCUGCGAGGACUAGACCCGGCCCUUCAAACAGAAGAAGAGAAUGCUCCUGAUCCUCCUCACACAACAUUCACAUGGAGCUUUCCACUGUGAAACUACCCACCAUCUACCCAACAUCUAGUGCUCCUCUCCCUGCAACACUACAUUAGGAGGAUGGUUGAUUGGGAGGAUGAUGUGCUUGCUGCCUGCCCACACUGCAGUCAAGACUCUAUGCAGAGUACAAGCAGAAGAAGGGCACAUGGAAGGCUGCAACUACCCUGAAGAUGUAUUUGAGGCAAUAUUCUGGAAGACAAUUUUGGGAGUGAUGAAGCCAGAUGUUCCGUGUGUCUGAGUCUGUGUAGGCGGCAGCUGUCAGUGACAUGUCACAGCUGGCGGAGGAGAGGCCGUGCUUUCCAGUGACCAUCAUGGACACCUCAACCUCUGCCGAGAGAGAGAGAGCCUCAGCUGGGAGGAAACACCGUAUACUCAGUCUUGCUGUACUUCUUCCUCUGAAGACAAUUUACAGAUGCAGGUCACGUGAUGUGACGUGUUCCUGUGUACUACAACGCACCGUCUUUGAGCUUCACCACUCAGAAACAUUGAUGCGAACUACACUCGGACUCUUGAUUUUUAAUUCUUUAUUUAAAUUCAAGUUGUUUGCACUUCCCUGUGACCCAGUAGGAUAAGUGGUAUAGAAGAUGGAUGGAUUGUUUGCACUUUUUUCAUGUUUUGCGUUUACUAGUUUAUAUUUUGCACUUUCGUAUAUGUUGUAAAAUAGCGAUUUUGCCUCCUAAAAUCCAACCCCCACGUCCAUGUGGUAGGAGGUGGAAACAGCACCUUCUUCAUGCCUGUAUUACGUAUGUGACCGUGCUAACAGGGCUCUUUUCAAUAAAGGCUAUAUGAGAUGA